This 394-nucleotide RNase P RNA is filed under the name Deltaproteobacteria bacterium. Its description in RNAcentral is "RNase P RNA component class A". It matches the Rfam family "Bacterial RNase P class A". Rfam says of the family: Ribonuclease P (RNase P) is a ubiquitous endoribonuclease, found in archaea, bacteria and eukarya as well as chloroplasts and mitochondria. The record is from RNAcentral. Lineage: Bacteria; Pseudomonadati; Myxococcota; Myxococcia.
GGAGGAUGCAAGGUGGUCGCUGCCAUCUUUUUGCGGAUGGCAGAGGAAAGUCCGGACACCGCAGGGCAGGGAGGUCGGUAACACCGACCGGGGGCAACCCUAGGGAAAGGGCCACAGAAAACAGACCGCCGGUGGUAACCAUGCCGCCGGUAAGGGUGAAACGGUGGGGUAAGAGCCCACCAGCCUGAUGGGUGACCAUCAGGGCUUGGCAACCCCCUCCCGGUGCAAGGCCAAAUAGGUUCCGCCUCAAGGAUUGCCCGUCCUUAUCCUCCCCCAAGAGGGAGGUGGCGGAACGGGUAGGCCGCUUGAGACCGAUGGCAACAUCGGUCCAAGAUGAAUGACCACCAUCGCCACACAGGGCGAUACAGAAUCCGGCUUAUUGCAUCCUCCAUAA